GCCUUCGUGGUGUAGUGGUCAGCACGCUCGGCUCGUAAACCAGAGGUCUGUUGUUCGAUUCCCGGCGAAGGCG
This 73-nucleotide transfer RNA is filed under the name Stegodyphus mimosarum. It matches the Rfam family "tRNA". Rfam says of the family: Transfer RNA (tRNA) molecules are approximately 80 nucleotides in length. Their secondary structure includes four short double-helical elements and three loops (D, anti-codon, and T loops). Further hydrogen bonds mediate the characteristic L-shaped molecular structure. tRNAs have two regions of fundamental functional importance: the anti-codon, which is responsible for specific mRNA codon recognition, and the 3' end, to which the tRNAs corresponding amino acid is attached (by aminoacyl-tRNA synthetases). tRNAs cope with the degeneracy of the genetic code in two manners: having more than one tRNA (with a specific anti-codon) for a particular amino acid; and 'wobble' base-pairing, i.e. permitting non-standard base-pairing at the 3rd anti-codon position. Lineage: Eukaryota; Metazoa; Arthropoda; Arachnida; Araneae; Eresidae. The record is from Rfam by way of RNAcentral.